GUCACGAUAGCUCAAGUGGUAGAGUACCGGCGUACAAAGCCGAAGGUCGUGGGUUCGAAUCCCGCUCGUGACA
This 73-nucleotide transfer RNA is filed under the name Cimex lectularius (bed bug). RNAcentral describes it as "tRNA-Cys". It matches the Rfam family "tRNA". From Rfam's summary of the family: Transfer RNA (tRNA) molecules are approximately 80 nucleotides in length. Their secondary structure includes four short double-helical elements and three loops (D, anti-codon, and T loops). Further hydrogen bonds mediate the characteristic L-shaped molecular structure. tRNAs have two regions of fundamental functional importance: the anti-codon, which is responsible for specific mRNA codon recognition, and the 3' end, to which the tRNAs corresponding amino acid is attached (by aminoacyl-tRNA synthetases). tRNAs cope with the degeneracy of the genetic code in two manners: having more than one tRNA (with a specific anti-codon) for a particular amino acid; and 'wobble' base-pairing, i.e. permitting non-standard base-pairing at the 3rd anti-codon position. Lineage: Eukaryota; Metazoa; Arthropoda; Insecta; Hemiptera; Cimicidae. The record is from Rfam by way of RNAcentral.